CAAAAAAUAUUUAAUUUCAAAAGGCUGGUUUUGGGACCCGGGGGGGGGGUUAAAAAUCUCCCUUUUUUGA
RNAcentral lists this transfer RNA (70 nucleotides) under Rhinogobius similis (barecheek goby). Its description in RNAcentral is "tRNA-Pro". Lineage: Eukaryota; Metazoa; Chordata; Actinopteri; Gobiiformes; Gobiidae. The record is from RNAcentral.